Molecule: ribosomal RNA, 964 nt
Filed under: uncultured bacterium
Lineage: Bacteria
Description: bacterial SSU rRNA
Rfam family: Bacterial small subunit ribosomal RNA
Source: RNAcentral
GGGGAGUAUCGGAUUACUGGGCGUAAGCGUGCGCAGGCGGAUUGUUAAGCAAGAUGUGAAAUCCCCGGGCUUAACCUGGGAAUGGCAUUUUGAACUGGCAGUCUAGAGUGCGUCAGAGGGGGGUGGAAUUCCACGUGUAGCAGUGAAAUGCGUAGAGAUGUGGAGGAACACCGAUGGCGAAGGCAGCCCCCUGGGAUGACACUGACGCUCAUGUACGAAAGCGUGGGUAGCAAACAGGAUUAGAUACCCUGGUAGUCCACGCCCUAAACGAUGUCAACUGGUUGUUGGGGGAGUGAAAUCCCUUAGUAACGAAGCUAACGCGUGAAGUUGACCGCCUGGGGAGUACGGUCGCAAGAUUAAAACUCAAAGGAAUUGACGGGGACCCGCACAAGCGGUGGAUGAUGUGGAUUAAUUCGAUGCAACGCGAAAAACCUUACCUACCCUUGACAUGUCCGGAAUCCUGCAGAGAUGCGGGAGUGCCCGAAAGGGAAUCGGAACACAGGUGCUGCAUGGCUGUCGUCAGCUCGUGUCGUGAGAUGUUGGGUUAAGUCCCGCAACGAGCGCAACCCUCGCCCUUAGUUGCCAUCAUUCAGUUGGGCACUCUAGGGGGACUGCCGGUGAUAAGCCGCGAGGAAGGUGGGGAUGACGUCAAGUCCUCAUGCCCCUUAUGGGUAGGGCUACACACGUGCUACAAUGGCCGGUACAGAGGGCUGCGAACUUGCGAAAGUAAGCAAAUCCCAGAAAGCCGGUCUUAGUCCGGAUUGGAGUCUGCAACUCGACUCCAUGAAGUCGGAAUCGCUAGUAAUCGCGAAUCAGAAUGUCGCGGUGAAUACGUUCCCGGGCCUUGUACACACCGCCCGUCACACCAUGGGAGUGGGUUGCAAAAGAAGUGGGUAGUCUAACCUUCGGGAGGGCGCUCACCACUUUGUGAUUCAUGACUGGGGUGAAGUCGUAACAAGGUAAC